This is a non-coding RNA of Phalacrocorax carbo (great cormorant), 4653 nucleotides long. The record is from RefSeq and is a predicted model, not a curated record. Lineage: Eukaryota; Metazoa; Chordata; Aves; Suliformes; Phalacrocoracidae.
GCCGCUGGGGGGCGGGGCGGAGACACGCCGGGGGCGGCCCUUCCCUGAGAAGGGGGAGGAAAUGGCGGACGCAGCGCGUCUUCCGCUCGCUGCCGCCUGCCGGGCAUGCGCGUUGCGGCGGCCCGCAGCCCCGAAGGGGUAGUCCCGUAAGGGCAGCCUGCUAUAGUCGGGGGAGUUCCUUCGAGGGGGAGGGGGUUACCAAAGCCGUGAGGCUUCUUCAUCUGCCGGUGCGUCCUGUUUCGGUCUGGUUUGUUUUUGUGUUGUUUUUUUCGCGGAGCUCUGAAGGAAUGCGCACCGUUUGCACGCUGCCUGUGGAGCCUAGGAGGUGCCUUUUGCUCCUAAGGCCAGUGAAGGAGAAACAGCAGUCUGAGGUUUAAGCAGCAGUCACAAGAGAUUAGAUGCUGCUAAGUGUAACGAAGUGUGAAGGUAACAAGAUGAAUGAACCAGAGGCUUUUCAACUUGAUGACAUCCUCCAGUGUGUAAUGUUUCAGCAACUCUGAAGUGAAAGAUAUGCUGGUGCACUUUUGGAAACCUGAAGAACAAGAAUCUGCCAGGGAGCCUAGAUGGGACCUUAAAAAGAAAUCUACAAAUUAUUUAACUACUAUUAAAAAUUAAAAAAGAAAUGCUGACUAAAGGUCCCAAUUAAUACAUUGUAUCAACUUCUACUAAUUUAGUUCCUCCACUUCAUUACAGAAGGACAUUAUCCAAAGUGUAUUAGCAGUGUUUCAUUAAAGCCAGCUGAGGGCAGACUUGAACUGGAAACUACUUUUGCUGCUUCAGUUACUUGAACUUAGAAUACCAGAUAAUCCCCUGAGCUCAAAGCUAAUGACAAUCUCAUCACUUCCCUACUAUUCUAAUUACACUUGUGCUGCAUAAAAGCUUCUUUACAAUUGCUGUUUGACAAAAUGAGUGUUUGCUAUGUCGCAGUAAGAAUAGUGAAUGUUUAAAUAAAGAUGCUAAUAUGAAAGUGGAUGUCAGUGUGUUAGCAGCUGUGUGUUACUCACAGGGGAGAAUCCACACUGCAUAAUAAUUAGCCAUGUAUAUCUUAAAAUGUUUUUUAAAAGCCAGUGAAUAUCAUCAUUUUUAAUUAAUAGCUAUUUUACAGAUGAAGAGACUGAGGAAUAGUGUGUCAGCCUUGCAAGUAACUCAUGCAGGUGACCUACAGAAGCAAGAACAAAAUCCAGAUUUCUGAGAUCUAGUGCAGUGCUCCUUAGCACAGAUAAACUAUGACAUGUCUAACUCUUGCAAACAUUACGGAAAUGAUUGAUAGCAGCCCAAAUUGCUGAGGCUGAGGAGCUUACACUAAUGAAAUAGGCAGUUGACCUGACAGGCAGGUUGUAGCUCUUGAGAAGAAUAUUCUCCCAGGAGAAUGGGUGGCGAUCAGAUCAGAUGGCUAAAGAUCUGCUAUAAGAAUAGUAUUUUACUAUUAAAACAAGUACUCUGCAUUUUUAUGUAUAUUUGUCAUUCUUUAAGUUAGACUGUUCUCUUUCCAAGGAGUGAAGAGCCUUUCUAUGUAGACCUUUAAAGCCAUUCAAAUCUCAGUACUAGGAAAAGUAUGAUUAAAAAGUCAGUUUGCAUACAGGUGAAGGAUUAAGAUGCUAAUAGACUGUUCCCCCCUUCCGUUCAUCUUUAAUUACGAGGGUUUUAAAUUAUAAGUGCUACAGUAGGCUUCCUGUUAACUCACCAAGGCCACCCCAGGUAUUGUACACUGUGGUCAGUAACGUUUAUGGGAUUAGGGUGACUAUCCCAUUUUCUUUAUAUGCUUAGGAGGUCAUUACCCAUUGAAACAGCUCUUUAAAUUAUAAAAAUGCGCUGAUUUUUUUAAUCUGUAAGCCUUAGUGUAAAACUUUCUGUUUCUAGAGAAGACCAGAGGCAUGCUGUUAGAGAGCUUGCCAUUCCUAAGGCUUGUGUAAGACGUACCGCAGAACAUUUGGUGCUGCGUAUUGAAAACUCCAUUUGUAGAAUGGAUGAACACAGUGCACAAAGCAUUCUUCCCUGUUUUUUCUUACUGCUAAUUUGCAGUGGGCAUUUGUUGAUGGUGGGAAUUAGUCAUUGGUUUAUAUGACUCCAAUGAAAAGGACCACAUUGAAAAUUAUAAAUUGGAAUGUGAAUGAGUGGGUACUUACACUUUGGACUCAAAUACUGUAUAACCUAUUACUGUGUUAUUCAUUUUUGGUAUUUUUUCCAGACAAAUCACAUUAAAAUAGGAGUCACAAAUAUCUGUCAGAGAUUUAAAGUAAAUUAAAACAAUGUGGCAAUUAUUCCAAAACUUAUUGCUGUAAAUUCAAGAAAUGAAUUUCAUGAUAACCUUCAAAGUAAGGCCAGAGACAGAGGUACAGGGUUGGCAUUCAGACAACCUUUACGAUAGCCUGUUACUGACUUUUCAGGUCUAUAUUCAAGAUUUUCUAAGUACUGUGUGAAGGUUUGUAAGAAUAGAUUACAAAAGAGGCCACUCUGAAUUCGUUUAAGAUUCUUGACGAUUCUUGAUGAUUCCUCCUUGUACUUUAUAAUUUUAGACCUCACAAAGAGCUGACAGCUCGAAAUAGUCAUCACUUCCCAUAACUCACAGAGGCCUGAAAAUGCAAUUACCUCAAAAGGGAAAAGAUUCAUUUUCUCUUCUACAGAAGGUAAGCUCUCCUCUUCUCAAAAUAACCACUAAUUGAAGGCAUUUAUUUACAAACUAAUUUUGUAGUAAACCACUGUAUCCCUUAGCUCAAGACGAAACAAGAAAGAUAAUGAUUCAAUUAACUAAAACUGCUGCUUUGAGAAAUGUGGUUUCCAGUGUCAAACUUGUGUAAUUCAUCCCUAAUUAUACAUUGCUAUCUAUACAUUAAAAAAAGAAAUCAUACUCCCAGGGCAAAUGCUAUGACUUUGGGAAGGAUACAUAAAAUAUACCAUAUUUUGAGUCUAAAAUUAAAUCUUAAACCAGUGUAGCACCAAUGCCUUCCAAAAUUUUUUAGAUUUGCUGUAUUUCAGUGUGAGGAGGCUUUAGCUCUUGUUUAAUCCCCUCUCUCAGUCUCUAACAUGUUCUUCAUUCUCAGUGCAAAGUUCAAUAUACUGGAAGAGCUAGUACAUUCUCCAGCGAGAGUGUGAAGGUGUGGGCUCAUGGGAAGGACAACAUCCAUCCACCCCCCAGAUAAACCUAAGCCCAUCUUCCCUCCUUAUAGGUGGCUUUUUUAACCUUUUGUUCCAUCAUAAAAACUAAAACUUUCUGUGGUAAAAUUCCCUGUCUAUUAAAACCACAGAUAAAUCCACUCUGCAGUCCUGAAGUUUUUUUUGACAACUUGUAAGUGAUAAACAUAAAAAUCAUGUAUAAAUAGAAAAAGUGUUGAUAAAGCAAUUAUGUAAAAUAGGGUGUAUAUGAAAAUUAAUGUAAAAAAUAUCCUGAAUAUGGGGAAAAAUGAGAGGAGCGUUCCACCACCAGUUAUAUCUGUUCAGUACAUGGAGUUAAAGGAGAUUUCUUAUUUCUUACCGUGUUGUUGUUACUUAUGCAACUCAUUAUGUCUUUAAGUUAAAACCAUUAACCAUUUCCAAGGGGAAAUAGGCCUGAACUUUUUGGGGCACGGCAAGUUUUUCCUGCUCUGGGCUUCACAGGUUUACAGCUCUACCUCCACCAUGACCUUUUCUUAGACUAAUCCCACGUGGCGUAUACUCUCUUUUGUUUGUACCCAGCUUUCCCUUUUAUUUGUAAUACAGACAUUAAAUGUUCAAAAACAUUAACGAUUUAAGAGUCGUUAAGAUAUUACUACCUCAGAAGCACGUCGCUGUUAGGUACAGUUGCGUGUGUUGUGCUGAGCAGGCCCAACUCAGUUACAGAGGGAGUUGCAGGUAAUGCAAAAUAACUGUCUUAGAGCAGUAGCUGUUGCUAUAUUUCUUUACAUGGAAACAAAUGGAUACAUAUACACUGUCUGAAUAAAGAACAUGAUGUUGUGUGCCUGUGACAAAAAAAAGAGAGUAUUUUAUAGUCAAAUUAUAUUUAGUUUUGGAUAAAAGAAAAUUAAAGAAAUAUGAAUAUACCGUGUAUAAAGCUUGUACAAUCGUAUUUCAUCAACAUCACUUACUCUGGUCGUGUACUUUCAGUGAUGGGAGUUUUAAUGAUGGAAAAGAUACUUCUAUGGAAAUUAAAGCCUGUUGCUGCAAAGUUGCCAGGACCCUUAAAUGUGUGCUGAAGUGUCCUCCUCCCUUUCAGUAAAUUAAGCAUGUUUAUAGUUGCUGUCCAGAGUAGCAGAAAAACAAUUGCUUCCUUGUUUAGAACUUUGCUGAGUCUGCUACCUGUGAGCAGACUCUCCUUCAUUCAUCUGAAACUACUAGUCACUAAUCUCAUUCCUGACAUACUUCAGCCUCCAACAGUCUGUUCCAACUUCUGUUACACCUUCUGGGAAUCUCUGUAUAGCAAUUUCUUUUUCUCCCCAGUUGGCUCCAAGCCAGAAAUACACCAAUUUGCACAAAUGCUCCUUAACCUUGUUCACACUGGGGUUUUUUUUCUUUUUUUUUUUUUUUCUUUCCUUUCUGCUUCUCUGGUUGUUGUAUACUUUUAUAGUAAACAUAGUACUUGCAUAGUUUUUCUGUAUAAUAAACCAGUGGUUACUAUGCAUUUUCUAAACUACUGUUUGUUUCACUUCAAGUGCACUGAAUAAAAUUAUUUCUCCAUGA